CCUAGGUGGGAAGAAUGUGUGUCCUGAUACGAAUAGACCCAGGGUGUGGACGUGGUCUCCGCCACAACCUUCCCCCAGCCGUGAAUGUGCUGCUAGCCUUGCCCAGCUCAGUGGGAGGGCUGAGGAGGCUACGGGACGGCGGCGUCACCCGCACCCGUGCCCACCUGCUCCCGCCGCUUCUGCCAGCGGCCACACGGGCUCUCCUCCAGGAUGUCGCUCUCGUCCUCGCUCUCGUCCUCCCGCUCGCGCUCCCGGCCUCUCCUCGGCGCCGGCUCCGGGGCCGCCAUGGCUCGGCGAGCCCAGGCCGCCGCCCUCCGCGCAAGCCCUCGCCCCGCUCCCGCCCGCCCUGGCCCAGCGCCCAGCAGCCCAACCUGGAGCCCAGCGGAGCGGCCGCCGCGAGCCCUCCUCGGCUCCGGGAAUUGGGAGGCGCGGGCUCGCAGCGGACCCGAGGGAGGAGCCGCCCCGCCCCUCCGGAGCCGCCUCUGCAGGCCGGUGCUGGACUGUAGCUCGAUCCAGGGCGGCAGAACCCCGCCCCAGGCACGCCUCGUCCUCCCAGACCACUCCUGCUUCCCCCAAAGCUCCGCCUCAAAGAGACGCGCCCCUCAAAGGCACCACCCAUUCCUGCGGAGGCCUCUCCAAGGUUUCCCAGGCAGCUGUGGUUCUCCCAGCAGACUGUGCCUGGCCUCUUCGGGAACCACUUUUGCCCAACUCUUGAAGCCAGUUCUUCCAGCACCGCAUCCCGAUCCUGCUCCCAUGACAAGUGUCCUGAACUCGGCCCGAUGUAGAGAGUCUGAAUGGGGCAUCAAGGGUCAAGGGCAUCUGGGGGCAGGCACUUCAGUGGUAAGAAACCAUAUGGUCUCAGAAAUGGGACCAGUUCCCUCCUCAGGUAGCCAAGGAACGCAUCACUAAAGAUGCACCGCAGCAGAGACUGAUGGGAUACUCUUUAAAUCCUGACUGCCUGUCUCUUCCUGGACCAGAAUUCCGUGCAAACCCACUUUUCAUAAUGGCGAGUUUCUCUUUUCUCCCCAAAUGUGACGCUCUCCGUUCCACUAUGGGCUCCCUUGAAGCAAUGGAACCACGAAGAGGGAGCAUUUCUCACUUGUCACAUCCAGCAGACUCCCCCACCCCCCGAAAACCUCUAUCCACCCCUCAACUGCCCUCAGUCCUACCUCUGCCCUUCUACCCACCGGCACCUCCCCUUUCUAUAUAGAGACCCUGGCUGUCCUCUGAUUUAAACAUCAUCUGACCCCUGACCAGCUCUGCCCCCCACUCUGCUCCUGACUUCUGUCAUAGCCCGCUCAGAAUGCUGCAGCUUGCUGUGGACUUCUACCUAUCCUGAGAAGGGUUAGCUAGUUUAGCAGAUCAGGAGGGGUUAACCCUCUACUGGCCCUAGAAGUCAGAACAGGGCCAAUGCUUGGAAGACAAUUCCCAUGUCCUUGGAUCUACCUAUUUGUGUCUGUUUAACUAGGACCCUAGCCACACUGGAGAGUCUGCACUAAGAACACAAAUGAUGAAGAGCCUUGUACCACAGUGUUAGCAGAGCCUCUUGGGGGGGGGGCAGGCACUACAGAUAGAACCCGUUUUUUAAAAAUGUGACAUUGAGGGCUCGUUGGUUAAGAGUACUUCUGCUCUUGCAGAAGACCCAAGUUCAAUUCCCAGCACUCACACAAGUUCACAAUUACCUGUUACUCCACUUCCAGGGGAUCUGCUGCCCUCUUCUGGUCUUGAUGGGUACCAAACGCACAUACAUGUAGGCACUCAUUAUCACAUACACAUAAAAUAAACCUUAAAAACAAUGCACAACACCAAGGCUAGUGGCACGCACAGAUCACAGCUGGCAGUAGCACAUGCUGUCUAAGAACUGUAGGGGACAGGGUAACUGGAUGCUCACACAGACGUCCCCUAGGUUCCAUUCCACAAGACGUUUGCUACAGCUGGUUUCUCUAAGCAGCCUUUGUGGAGGUCAAACCUGCCCUCCUGACUGUUUGCUGCACUUGACAGGCCCAUCCAUCCCUCUUUGUGCUGACUGUGACUUAUACAUAGAAUGCAUCUUCUGUCACCCGUUGAGGCCACGUCCUUCAGGUGUUGACUCAGGUGUCAUCUCUCCGACAAGACAUCCCUAGGCUCCAUGCUUGCACACCCUGUCUCCUCCCUAGCCUCACGAGACUUUCCCAUGACAUUUGGCGCUGGACCUGCCUGUGUUGGUCUGUUUCAUCUGUCCAUGAUGGAAUGUGGAUCUAUAAGGGCAGGGUGUCUGCUCUUGGUGCCAAGGGUAAUGUUCAUCACAUGCCACGCCCUCAUCAAUGGUGUGAUGGAUGCGUGGGAGAAGGAUGCAUGAAGGCUUAGUAGGUGGUCCAAAGAGUCUCCCGAGGCAGCUGCAUAGGAACCAAACCUCAAUUCAUUUUCUUCCCUAUAGCCAGUCCCAUGUCAAACAGGUAUGUGCACUCUAACCCCUAGUACCUGGGAAAUGGCCUUAUUUUGAGACAAACUCUUGUUGGAUCUAGAGAGGACUCUGGAAUCCAACAUUGGGCAUGGAGUCUGAGGCUGAGGUGUGUUCUUGGUCACUUUCCUCAGCUACUGCUCCAGACCCAGUUGCCCUCCUGUCUCCGCCUCUACUCCUGUCCAUCUUCCCAUCCUGCCAGAUGCUUACUAUUAAUGUCCUCUGGGCACACCCCGUCUCAAUGGUCAUCUGCUCCCUUGACAUCUUGUCUUGUGCUUUAGCACUCAAUUCCUUUCUCCUACCUCUUGUAGCUCUCCCAGGGAUCCUUGGGUGUCCCUUCUGGGUCUCUCCGAGGCUGUCCCUGCUGAAGGGUAGGCAGCCGAUGUCUGGUUUCUGAAUUCCUGACCAUUUCUUUCCCUCUGGCAGGUGGCUUUCCAGGCUUAGACAGAUGUUCCCUGAGGCCAGAUAUUCCAGGGAGGAAGAGAGAAGGCCCCUCGCCUCAUGGGCAGCACCCGGCAUUGUGUUUUUUCGAAACUUGCCUCAAAGACCAGAGGAAAGCGGUAGUGAGAGGCUGGCCCCUUUGGGAUGGGCACAAGGCCGUGGCUUCUGUUCUCGUUCCAAGGAAACCAAUAUUGAUCUUCCAAGCUCCUUUGGGGAGCUCACCCCAUGUGGCAGGAAACUACUGCUUCCCGACAACAGUCAAUGAGGGCCAAACAGCCUCUCUGUAACUUAAGUUUGGAAGCGGUUCCUAGGGAGUGUGUGUGUUUGGAAGCGACCAACGGAGGGGGAAAAGAAAAAAAUCAGCUGUUUCAAGAGAUUUCAGGAGAAUUGACAUCUAUUUAAUCAUUACUCACUACUAGGAAAUAGAAGCAGCAGUGCUAAAUGGAAGUGAUGGGUCCUGCAGCCAAGCGCUCCUUGGGUACCAGGCCCCUCCUCAAGUGAUGGAACUCCAUCAUACCCACCAAACGGCCUCCGAGGAUGACUUGAGGAUUGCGUUUUUAUUCAUUUCAACAAUGUGCCCAAAAGAUCAAUUUGCACUUGGUCAAUACAACAGAACAGACAAAUACAUGUGUGCUGUGUGGCGGGCACUGCUCUCCGUGGAUGAGCUUUGAGCUCUUUGUGGGUUAUCAGUAGUCACAGCAUUCAGAAUGCAGGAGACUCAACAACCAUUCAGCUGCCUUCGGAGGAGAAGGAGGAGGGGGGAGGAGGAGACUAAUGUGGACAUACAAGUUAUUUCUCUUGUUGAGAAGUCUUACUGGAUGCCACAGGAAGGCUUAUUCGCUUUUCAAUAUUGGCUAAAAAAAAUAGAUGGAAGUCUAAAACAACAAUGAACUUGUGAUACAAUGUAACAUUUCCCUUCUCUUUAAGAGAGCAAUUAUUACCAGGCAGUUAUUGAUGGGUGGUGGUGGCCCCCCAUAUCUUUUAUCCCAGCACUGGGGAGGCAGAGGAAGGCAGAUGUCUGCGAGUUUAAGGCCAGCCUGGUCUACAGAGCAAGUUCCAGGAUAGCCAGGGUUACACAGAGAAAUGCUUUCUUGGAAAAAACAAAAACAAAAGCAGAGGGGGUUAUUUGAGCUAUCCUAACAGAUACCACAGGAGGCAUGGUAAGUUAAAAAGCAGGAAUUAAUUUUCUCAUAGAAGUCCAGGAUCCCAGAGUCAGGAUCUCUCCUGAAGCUCUCCCCUUGACAUGUGAACAGGUUCUCCUCUCAACAUCCUUGAACAAUACCGGUCUGUAUGUGACUGUCUUAACUCCUUUCUUCCUUUGUUUCUUUUCUUUCUUCCUAGAUUUACCUUAUUGUAUGUGCAGUGCUUUGGCUGCGCAUGUUGUAUGUGCUGCGUUCAUGAAGUGCCCAUUGAGGCCAGAAGCAAGUCGGCAGUUACAGGCAGUUGUGACCCUCCAUGAUGGUUCUGAGAAUGGAACCUGAGUCCUCUGGAAGAGCAGAAAGUGCUUUGAGCUGUUGUGGUGGCUUGAAUAUGCUUGGCCCAGGAAAGGAGAUGUGGCCUUAUUGGAGGAAGUGUGUCACUGGGGGGUGGGCAAUGAGACCCUUCUCCCAGCUACCACAUGGAAGCCAGUCUUCUCUUAGUGGCCUUCAGAUGAAGGUGUAGAACUCUCAGUUCCUCCUGCACCAUGCCUGCCUGGAUGUUACCAUGCUCCUGCCUUGAUGAUAAUGGACUGAACCUCUGAACCUACUCCCAACCUCUGUGACUGGGAAGACAAGAAGAAAGCAAAUGGUACCAUCGGGCCUUGAUGGCGCUGCUUUGAAAUUUGACUUAGAGGAGUGAAUUGAGGGUGCCACAGAGCACAGCUUCUUCCAGAGAAAUCUGAUUGUGACUUUGAAUGUCAUUGGUCUGGAGCCUUGUUACCUGAAUUCCAGACCUUAUUUUCUGAAGACCAGCCAGUGGGCGUGUAUGUCUGAGAGUGGAGUUGGCACACCUAUCUGUACUUCCUGGAUCCUGAGAUUAUUAGUGUGAGCUGCCACAUCCAGUCUUCAGGACCUUCAAAACAGAUGUCUGAGGGGUCUGCACUUUUUGCAUCUUUGCUGAUCCCAAGGCAAUCCUGUAUCGAAGAAGGCCCAGCUCCUUCUGUGUCUACAACAGUUAAAUGUGCCAAUGUGCCAGAUCCCUGGGCAACGCAGGAAUUAGGUGCUUUCUGCCCAUCCAGCGUCUCAGGCCUGGUGUGGGAGGGAAGUCACCCAUGUGUUUUGCUGUGAAGUCACAUGUGUUCCCACUGUGGGCUCCCACCCCAGCCUCCACACAAGAAAACCUGCAGGGGCUCGCUCAGCUGGGUAACAUACACCUCUCUCACUCUUGUUGCCCCCACUCUGCUCUGCGUUGGGUGGCUCCCUGCCCUUUUGGGUUUGUCAAGCAACUCCUCCUGAGCCUGGCUAGUCAAGGACACCAGGCAAACUGAGUGAGGGAAAGAGGUCAAGCACUGGAGUGCCCUGCCACAAUCUGUCCUUCAUGUCACCAGGAAAAAGGAACGACUCGUAUGUUGGCAGCUGGACAAGAAGUCAUGUCUGACCUGUAGGAAAUAAAGCAGCCAGAACCUGGUUAAUACCUGGCA
Molecule: long non-coding RNA, 5501 nt
Organism: Mus musculus (house mouse)
Lineage: Eukaryota; Metazoa; Chordata; Mammalia; Rodentia; Muridae
Product: predicted gene, 41349
Exons: 3
Source: RefSeq, a predicted model, not a curated record